Molecule: unclassified non-coding RNA, 261 nt
Filed under: Hevea brasiliensis (rubber tree)
Lineage: Eukaryota; Viridiplantae; Streptophyta; Magnoliopsida; Malpighiales; Euphorbiaceae
Source: RNAcentral
UGGAGUCAUGCAUGACUGGUGUGAGCCAUUUGAUACUUAUCCAAGAACGUAUGAUUUAGUCCACGCUGCUGCUCUUUUCUCAGUCGAAAAAAACAGAUGCAACGCGACAACUAUCAUGCUAGAAAUAGACAGAAUUCUUCGUCCCGGGGGACGAGUUUAUAUUCGUGACACCACACCUGUUAUCGAAGAGCUCAUAGAAAUUGUACAGGCCUUAGGAUGGGUGUCAUUUAAAUAUGAUAGCAGCGAGGGACCUCAUUUCAA